GACGAACGCUGGCGGCGUGCUUAACACAUGCAAGUCGAACGGAAAGGCCCCUUUUAGGGUACUCGAGUGGCGCACGGCUUAGUAACACGUGAUUAACCUGCCCUUGACUUCGGGAUAACUUCAGGAAACUGGGGCGAAUACCGGCGAGGAAUCCUUGCUGCAUGAUGGGUGUUGGAAAGCUUCGUCGGUUUUGGAUUGACUCGCGGCUUAUCAGCUUGUUGGUGGCGUAGUGGCUUACCAAGGCUUUGACGGGUAGCCGGCCUGAGAGGGCGACCGGCCACAGUGGGACUGAGAUACGGCCCAGACUCAUACGGGAGGCAGCAGUGGGGAAUGUUGCACAAUGGGCGUAAGCCUGAUGCAGCAACGCCGAGGGCGGGAUGACGGCCUUCGGGUUGUAAUCCGCUUUCAGCAGGGGCGAAGCUUGUGGUGACGGUACCUGCAGAAGAAGCACCGGCUAACUACGUG
Molecule: ribosomal RNA, 465 nt
Filed under: uncultured bacterium
Lineage: Bacteria
Description: partial 16S ribosomal RNA
Rfam family: Bacterial small subunit ribosomal RNA
Source: RNAcentral